RNAcentral lists this ribosomal RNA (376 nucleotides) under uncultured eukaryote. RNAcentral's name for it is "SSU rRNA". It matches the Rfam family "Eukaryotic small subunit ribosomal RNA", at positions 587 to 972 of the family's 1831-position model. The record is from RNAcentral.
AGCUCCAAUAGCGUAUAUUAAAGUUGUUGCAGUUAAAAAGCUCGUAGUUGGAUUUCUGGUCGAGUGUCCCUAGGCCGACUUGACGUUUGGUCCUAGGCGCUCUGCCAUCCUUCUGUUAACUCUCGCCUCGUUCGUUCGUGGCGUUAGGGCUCAGAUAUUUUACCUUGAGAAAAUUAGAGUGUUUCAGGCAGGCUUUCGCCGGAAUACAUUAGCAUGGAAUAAUGGAAAAGGACUUCAACCUCUUCUGUUGGUCUGAGAGGAUGUAGUAAUGAUUAAUAGGGAUAGUUGGGGGCAUUAGUACUUAACUGUCAGAGGUGAAAUUCUCCGAUUUGUUAAAGACUAACUUAUGCGAAAGCAUUUGCCAAGGAUGUUUUCA